Molecule: ribosomal RNA, 371 nt
Filed under: uncultured bacterium
Lineage: Bacteria
Description: bacterial SSU rRNA
Rfam family: Bacterial small subunit ribosomal RNA
Source: RNAcentral
GUAGGUUGCGAGCGUUGUCCGGAUUUACUGGGCGUAAAGCGCGCGCAGGCGGUUCCGAAAGUCGAAUGUGAAAGCUCCCGGCCCAACUGGGAGAGGCCGUUCGAAACUUCGGGACUUGAAGGCGGGAGAGGCAGAUGGAAUUUCCGGUGUAGCGGUAAAAUGCGUAGAUACCGGAAGGAACACCAGUGGCGAAAGCGAUCUGCUGGCCCGCCCUUGACGCUCAGGCGCGAAAGCUAGGGGAGCGACCGGGAUUAGAUACCCCGUUAGUCCUAGCUGUAAACAAUGGGCACUAGGUGUUGUCGGUAUCGACCCCGGCAGUACCGUAGCUAACGCAUUAAGUGCCCCGCCUGGGGAGUACGACCGCAAGGUUA